Molecule: ribosomal RNA, 607 nt
Filed under: uncultured bacterium
Lineage: Bacteria
Description: bacterial SSU rRNA
Rfam family: Bacterial small subunit ribosomal RNA (bases 1-521)
Source: RNAcentral
CCUACGGGAGGCAGCAGUGGGGAAUAUUGGACAAUGGGCGAAAGCCUGAUCCAGCAAUGCCGCGUGAGUGAUGAAGGCCUUAGGGUUGUAAAGCUCUUUUACCAGGGAUGAUAAUGACAGUACCUGGAGAAUAAGCUCCGGCUAACUCCGUGCCAGCAGCCGCGGUAAUACGGAGGGAGCUAGCGUUGUUCGGAAUUACUGGGCGUAAAGCGUGCGUAGGCGGUGAUUCAAGUCAGAGGUGAAAGCCUGGAGCUCAACUCCAGAACGGCCUUUGAAACUAGAUCGCUAGAAUUAUGGAGAGGUAAGUGGAAUUCCGAGUGUAGAGGUGAAAUUCGUAGAUAUUCGGAAGAACACCAGUGGCGAAGGCGACUUACUGGACAUAUAUUGACGCUGAGGUACGAAAGCGUGGGGAGCAAACAGGAUUAGAUACCCUGGUAGUCCACGCCGUAAACGAUGAUAACUAGCUGUUCGGGCUCUCAGAGCUUGAGUUGGCGCAGCUACGACAUUAAGUUAGUACCGUCCGUCGGGAGGUACGGUCGCGAAGAAGUUAAACUAACGAAGAAGUAGUACGCGUGAGACGUCGCGACGGACGACGACGAGGGAGAGG